AUACGGAAGGUCCGGGCGUUAUCCGGAUUUAUUGGGUUUAAAGGGAGCGCAGGCGGAGAUGCAAGCGUGACGUCAAAUUUCGGGGCUCAACCCCGUCUCGCGUCGCGCACUGCGUCCCUUGGUUGCGGGAAGGGGAGGCGGAACUCGGGGUGUAGCGGGGAAAUGCAUAGAUAUCACGAAGAACUCCGAUCGCGAAGGCAGCCUUCCGGCCCGUCAACGACGCUCAUGCUCGAAGGUGCGGGUAUCAAACAGGAUUAGAUACCCUGGUAGUCCGCACAGUAAACGAUGGACACCCGCGGUUUGGCCUAUAUGGCUGAGCCGCCAAGCGAAAGCGUUAAGUGUCCCACCUGGGGAGUACGCCGGCAACGGUGAAACUCAAAGGAAUUGACGGGG
This 393-nucleotide ribosomal RNA is filed under the name uncultured bacterium. RNAcentral describes it as "partial 16S ribosomal RNA". It matches the Rfam family "Bacterial small subunit ribosomal RNA", at positions 523 to 918 of the family's 1533-position model. The record is from RNAcentral.